Molecule: long non-coding RNA, 592 nt
Organism: Antechinus flavipes (yellow-footed antechinus)
Lineage: Eukaryota; Metazoa; Chordata; Mammalia; Dasyuromorphia; Dasyuridae
Exons: 2
Source: RefSeq, a predicted model, not a curated record
GCUGGGAUGGGGGAAUCUAUAGGAAGAAAGCAGAGGAUAAAGGUGGGGUACAGGCUUACCAUCUGAACCUCAGCGAGACUCCUCAGCCCUUGGCCCAGCUCAUUUUAUAGAUGAGGAAACUGAGGUAAACAGGGUAAAGUGACUUGUCUAACCCCUGAAGCUAGGAAGCAUCUAAGGGCAAAUUUUGGAACUCAGGUCUUCCUGACUCCAGGCUGGCAUUCUAUCCAUUCAACACCCGAGGUUCACCGGGAAGGAGGGGAAGCUCCAGGGCCACAGGUAGGCCGCCUCUGGACUGGUUCCAAGGGAGAGGCAAUCUGGGCCCAAAGGACAAUGCCUUCCUCACCAUGCCUCAGCAAAGACCAUUAUCUAAAACUAGAAUAUCCCUCCCUCUUCCACACCACCAUCCCUUUCAAAUCCAUUAAAGGCCCAGCUCAGGGGCCACCCUCUCCAGGAAGCCUUCCCUGAUCUCCCCGUCUGUAUCACCCUUGACUUCCUCCACACUCCCCAAGCACUGCUGUAUACCUAUAAUGAAUGAUUGUGAUUUGGAUAUAUGUCAUCAUCCAUUAAAGCCAUACCUGAUCAUGAGCUAAAA